ACAACAUUGGGUCCGUUGGUCUACCGAGCAAUGUCAUCCUCUCGGUAGAAGAUCUUCUCUUUGUCAU
Molecule: microRNA precursor, 67 nt
Filed under: Bombyx mori (domestic silkworm)
Lineage: Eukaryota; Metazoa; Arthropoda; Insecta; Lepidoptera; Bombycidae
Description: mir-2774 microRNA precursor family
Rfam family: mir-2774 microRNA precursor family
Source: Rfam by way of RNAcentral